Molecule: long non-coding RNA, 1623 nt
Filed under: Oryctolagus cuniculus (rabbit)
Lineage: Eukaryota; Metazoa; Chordata; Mammalia; Lagomorpha; Leporidae
Description: lncRNA (ENSOCUG00000034741.1)
Source: RNAcentral
AAAUAAUUAAAAUCAUUGCAAAACAAAAUUAUCUUUGGGAUUUGCUUUUAGCAAGAACAGGAAACAAAAGAAAUAAUAGAAAAUCGAUUUGGUUUCAUGCCCUGGCUAUCCUCAAUAGAGUUGGAUGCUUCAUGGAAUGUGUAAAACAGGGAGCAAUCAGACAAGUCUGAACAGUUAAUGAGAGGGAAUCAACCUACACGUAACUAGAAUUAUACCACAUGGCUUUAUCUACUCCUUGUGGAGAGGAAGCAUGCAUUGAGCUGGUGCUAACCUAUUCAUGUUGAGCUGUUGUAAUGGGUUUGUUUGCUGAGAGCUGCAUACAUGUCAGGCACUGAGCUAGGAAUUGGUCACUGCUAAGCAACAGGAGGUGGAGGGGCUGCGAUUCCCUUGACUGCAGUCACAUAGAAGAUGAGGUUAAGAACAGGCACACUGCCUACUUCAUAUAAGGUAAAAAUGGCUGAGCAAGGAGUUAGGACAUAAGCAGCAUUUUAAAAUCCCACCCUUUAACAGUAAUUCACAACUAAGUCAUGACGAGGCUGAAUAAUUAUAAUCUCCUCUCUGCUCAUUGUCCCGAUUUUUCCUCUUUCUUUCUCGUCUCAGGCCAUUCCAAUUUAUGUAAACGUCCGAGUAUUCUACGUUUCCUGCAACUGGAUGCCACCUAAUAGGGGGGAUAAGGAGCCGCAAGAACAGCAGAACCCGCCUCACGGUCUGAUCAGCAGAGCUGCUGGGUAGAUGUCUGAAUUCUUUCACUGAAUGGAUACGGCUCUCCCUGAACACGCAUCUCCUGAAGGCUGCACAGUAGCCAAGGGGAUUCUUCAACUCAUGCCACCAGUCUGGUUUCACCAGCAAUAAAAGGCACAGAAAUUAUGAAUUUCUUAGCUGGUGACUGAGAUUCUUCAAGAGGUGUGUCUUACUCCAGGACUUUUAAAUACUAAUCUGCUGCAUAUGACAACUGAAAUCCCGGUGAUGAGACUGCCAAGCCCUGUAUUGAUGUGCUCUGGGCAGGAAACAUGCAUUCCCAGGUCACCAGUUCCAGGAAGUCCAAACAAGAUACUUAAUCCUUACUGCCAUGAAUUUCAGUGUGAAGGAAUUUGUACCAAUAUCAAGUUCUUCAUGAUUUCCUGGGCAAGAAGGGAGCUCCUCCUACUUCAUCUAAUCACCAGCUUACAGCUCAAGGAGCUUAUGGUUUGCUAAAAAGAUUGUUUUCUGAUUCCUACAUGCUGGACCCAUCAGUGUGAAUGGCAAACAGCCCACAAGCAAGGUGGCAGGUCAUCAGCAGUCUGGCGUAGGUGCGAGGAAAACACUCCAUGAGCCAAGCUGAUAAAACUACCGAAGCCUCCAGGUCAUGCCAUUGCACAAUAGCAACCUGGCCUCCUUGCAACCCUCUCGGCAGCCUCUUGUGGCUAUUAAUAGUCAGAAAUUAAUACAAAAAUGCAAAAGCAACGCCAAACAAGGAACCUAAGAAUUGAGGCUAGCAUAAAUAUGUUUUGACUGGAGGAAAAAUAACUAUGAGGGCCCAUAAAUAUUAUUUUGAUCUCCUAUUGUCAUGGAUUGUUUUUCUUUGAAGGAUCCUUCAUAUAUAACCUCUCAUUCUACAAAUAAAAACAAACAGAAAAAAAUCCA